GGUUGGAGAGAUGGCCGAGAGG
RNAcentral lists this transfer RNA (22 nucleotides) under Didymoglossum tahitense. RNAcentral describes it as "partial tRNA-Ser". Lineage: Eukaryota; Viridiplantae; Streptophyta; Polypodiopsida; Hymenophyllales; Hymenophyllaceae. The record is from RNAcentral.